Phrynosoma platyrhinos (Desert horned lizard) is the source of this 72-nucleotide non-coding RNA. Lineage: Eukaryota; Metazoa; Chordata; Lepidosauria; Squamata; Phrynosomatidae. The record is from the annotation of a GenBank genome assembly.
GAGCCAGUGCAGCCUAGUGGUUUGAGUGUUGGACUAGGACUCUGGAGACCAGGUUCGAUUCCUGGUAGGUCA